GGGGAAUCUUGCACAAUGGGGGAAACCCUGAUGCAGCGACGCCGCGUGAGCGAUGAAGCCCUUCGGGGUGUAAAGCUCUUUCGGCAGGGACGAUAAUGACGGUACCUGCAGAAGCAGCUGCGGCUAACUACGUGCCAGCAGCCGCGGUAAUACGUAGGCAGCAAGCGUUGUUCGGGGUUACUGGGCGUAAAGGGUGCGUAGGCGGCUCUAUAAGUAUGGUGUGAAAUCUCCCGGCUUAACCGGGAGGGUGCGCCGUAGACUGUGGGGCUAGAGUGUGGGAGAGGAAAGUGGAAUUCCUGGUGUAGCGGUGAAAUGCGUAGAUAUCAGGAGGAACACCGGUGGUGUAGACGGCUUUCUGGACCAUAACUGACGCUGAGGCACGAAAGCGUGGGUAGCAAAC
This 400-nucleotide ribosomal RNA is filed under the name uncultured bacterium. Its description in RNAcentral is "bacterial SSU rRNA". It matches the Rfam family "Bacterial small subunit ribosomal RNA", at positions 356 to 773 of the family's 1533-position model. The record is from RNAcentral.